GCCCGCUCAGAAACUCAAAGGAAUUGACGGGGGCCCGCACAAGCGGUGGAGCAUGUGGUUUAAUUCGAUGAUACGCGAGGAACCUUACCUGGGCUCAAAUGUAUGUUGACGUAUUCUGAAAGGGAUACUUCUUCGGACAAUAUACAAGGUGCUGCAUGGUUGUCGUCAGCUCGUGUCGUGAGAUGUUGGGUUAAGUCCCGCAACGAGCGCAACCCUUGCCUUUAGUUGCCAGCAGUUCGGCUGGGCACUCUAAAGGGACUGCCGGUGUUAAACCGGAGGAAGGUGGGGAUGACGUCAAGUCCUCAUGGCCUUUAUGACCAGGGCUACGCACGUACUACAAUGGCCGAUACAAAGGGCAGCGACACUGCGAGGUGAAGCCAAUCCCGUAAAAUCGGUCUCAGUCCGGAUUGGAGUCUGCAACUCGACUCCAUGAAGUUGGAAUCGCUAGUAAUCGUGGAUCAGCAUGCCACGGUGAAUACGUUCCCGGGCCUU
This 492-nucleotide ribosomal RNA is filed under the name uncultured Desulfobulbus sp. RNAcentral describes it as "bacterial SSU rRNA". It matches the Rfam family "Bacterial small subunit ribosomal RNA", at positions 887 to 1382 of the family's 1533-position model. Lineage: Bacteria; Pseudomonadati; Thermodesulfobacteriota; Desulfobulbia; Desulfobulbales; Desulfobulbaceae. The record is from RNAcentral.